GGAACCGGGGAUUGAGCGGCGGACGGGUGAGUAACACGUGGGCAACCUGCCCUCUAGACGGGGAUAACUCCGGGAAACCGGAGCUAAUACCCGAUAAUCAAGCAGAUCACCUGAUCUGCUUGUAAAAGCAUGGCCUUCGGGCCAUGCACUGGAGGAUGGGCCCGCGGCGUAUUAGCUAGUUGGAGAGGUAAGGGCUCCCCAAGGCGACGAUGCGUAGCCGACCUGAGAGGGUGAUCGGCCACACUGGGACUGAGACACGGCCCAGACUCCUACGGGAGGCAGCAGUAGGGAGUCAUCCGCAAUGGGCGAAAGCCUGACGGUGCAACGCCGCGUGAGUGAUGAAGGUUUUCGGAUCGUAAAGCUCUGUUGACAGGGAAGAACCCACCUCCACUCCAACACGCUGGCGCGCUGACGGUACCUGUCCACAAAGCCCCGGCUAACCUACUUGCCCCCCCCCCGCUCUAAUACCCUCCGGCGCCCCCCGCUGCCCCGACUUCCUGGCCACUACAGGCUCACCCAGGCCCAUCCACCCCCCCCUAAUGCGACACCCCCACCUCUCACCCUCUCGCAUCGCCACUCGCACCCUCCUCCCCCCUCCCCACUCAACCUCCCUACACCCCCCCCCCCUCCCCCUUCCCCCCCUCCCCCCUCCCCCCCACCUCCUCACUCCCCCCCUCCCCCGCCCCCUCCUCCCCCACCCCCUCCUCUCCUCCCCCACUCUCCCACUCUCUCCCCCCCCCCCUCCCCUCAACCCCUGACUCCUUCCCUCCCACCCUCCUCCUCUCUCCCCACCACCCUCCCACCCUCACUCCCACCUCCUCCUCCCUCCCCCCCUCCCAUCCUCCCUCCUUCCCCCCUCCCUCUCCCAUACCCCCAUCCUCCUACCCUUCUCUGCCUCCCCAUACACAACACCCUCCCUCUUCUCCUCCUCCACCCCAUCCUCUAC
RNAcentral lists this ribosomal RNA (946 nucleotides) under uncultured Marinococcus sp. RNAcentral describes it as "partial 16S ribosomal RNA". The stretch from base 1 to 478 matches the Rfam family "Bacterial small subunit ribosomal RNA", at positions 80 to 535 of the family's 1533-position model. Lineage: Bacteria; Bacillati; Bacillota; Bacilli; Caryophanales; Bacillaceae. The record is from RNAcentral.